RNAcentral lists this ribosomal RNA (424 nucleotides) under Terrabacter sp. 1196b. Its description in RNAcentral is "bacterial SSU rRNA". It matches the Rfam family "Bacterial small subunit ribosomal RNA", at positions 1103 to 1524 of the family's 1533-position model. The record is from RNAcentral. Lineage: Bacteria; Bacillati; Actinomycetota; Actinomycetes; Micrococcales; Intrasporangiaceae.
CCUCGUCCUUUGUNGCCAGCACGUGAUGGUGGGGACUCAUAGGAGACUGCCGGGGUCAACUCGGAGGAAGGUGGGGAUGACGUCAAAUCAUCAUGCCCCUUAUGUCUUGGGCUUCACGCAUGCUACAAUGGCCGGUACAAAGGGCUGCGAAACCGCGAGGUGGAGCGAAUCCCAAAAAACCGGUCUCAGUUCGGAUUGGGGUCUGCAACUCGACCCCAUGAAGUCGGAGUCGCUAGUAAUCGCAGAUCAGCAACGCUGCGGUGAAUACGUUCCCGGGCCUUGUACACACCGCCCGUCAAGUCACGAAAGUCGGUAACACCCGAAGCCGGUGGCCCAACCCCUUGUGGGAGGGACUGUCGAAGGUGGGACUGGCGAUUGGGACUAAGUCGUAACAAGGUACCGUACCGGAAGGUGCGGCUGGAUC